GGAUAUAGGAUUUAAUAUAACUUGUAAUGGUAUUCACAGUGUCAGAAUCGUAAGAUAGCAGCACAUAAUAAAACGACAAUGUUAGUAUUAAAACUAUAUCUA
Molecule: non-coding RNA, 102 nt
Filed under: Nanofrustulum shiloi
Lineage: Eukaryota; Bacillariophyta; Fragilariophyceae; Staurosirales; Staurosiraceae
Source: RNAcentral